Molecule: ribosomal RNA, 1244 nt
Filed under: Pseudomonas sp.
Lineage: Bacteria; Pseudomonadati; Pseudomonadota; Gammaproteobacteria; Pseudomonadales; Pseudomonadaceae
Description: bacterial SSU rRNA
Rfam family: Bacterial small subunit ribosomal RNA
Source: RNAcentral
GUCGAGCGGUAGAGAGGUGCUUGCACCUCUUGAGAGCGGCGGACGGGUGAGUAAUGCCUAGGAAUCUGCCUGGUAGUGGGGGAUAACGCUCGGAAACGGACGCUAAUACCGCAUACGUCCUACGGGAGAAAGCAGGGGACCUUCGGGCCUUGCGCUAUCAGAUGAGCCUAGGUCGGAUUAGCUAGUUGGUGAGGUAAUGGCUCACCAAGGCGACGAUCCGUAACUGGUCUGAGAGGAUGAUCAGUCACACUGGAACUGAGACACGGUCCAGACUCCUACGGGAGGCAGCAGUGGGGAAUAUUGGACAAUGGGCGAAAGCCUGAUCCAGCCAUGCCGCGUGUGUGAAGAAGGUCUUCGGAUUGUAAAGCACUUUAAGUUGGGAGGAAGGGCAUUAACCUAAUACGUUAGUGUUUUGACGUUACCGACAGAAUAAGCACCGGCUAACUCUGUGCCAGCAGCCGCGGUAAUACAGAGGGUGCAAGCGUUAAUCGGAAUUACUGGGCGUAAAGCGCGCGUAGGUGGUUCGUUAAGUUGGAUGUGAAAGCCCCGGGCUCAACCUGGGAACUGCAUUCAAAACUGUCGAGCUAGAGUAUGGUAGAGGGUGGUGGAAUUUCCUGUGUAGCGGUGAAAUGCGUAGAUAUAGGAAGGAACACCAGUGGCGAAGGCGACCACCUGGACUGAUACUGACACUGAGGUGCGAAAGCGUGGGGAGCAAACAGGAUUAGAUACCCUGGUAGUCCACGCCGUAAACGAUGUCAACUAGCCGUUGGGAGCCUUGAGCUCUUAGUGGCGCAGCUAACGCAUUAAGUUGACCGCCUGGGGAGUACGGCCGCAAGGUUAAAACUCAAAUGAAUUGACGGGGGCCCGCACAAGCGGUGGAGCAUGUGGUUUAAUUCGAAGCAACGCGAAGAACCUUACAAGCCUUGACAUCCAAUGAAACUUUCCAGAGAUGGAUUGGGUGCCUUCCGGGAGCAUUGAGACAGGUGCUGCAUGGCUGUCGUCAGCUCGUGUCGUGAGAAUGUUGGGUUAAGUCCCGUAACGAGCGCAACCCUUUGUCCCUUAGUUACCAGCCACGUUAUGGGUGGGCAACUCUAAGGAGACUGGCCGGUGACAAACCGGGAGGAAGGUUGGGGGAUGGACGUCAAGGUCAUCAUGGGCCUAUACCGGCUGGGGCCUACACACGGUGCUAACAAAUGUUCUGUACAAUGGAUUGCCUAAGCGCGCCGAGGUGUGGAACCUCUUAU